AGCGGAGGAAAAGAAACCAACAGGGAUUGCCUCAGUAACGGCGAGUGAAGCGGCAAAAGCUCAAAUUUUAAAGCUGGCACCUUCGGUGUCCGCGUUGUAAUUUUGUGAGGCAUCUCCGGGUAGGGCGCCGGCCUAAGUUCCUUGGAACAGGACGUCAUAGAGGGUGAGAAUCCCGUGCUUGGCUGGCUGUCCCCGUCCAUGUGAGGUGUCUUCGACGAGUCGAGUUGUUUGGGAAUGCAGCUCAAAAUGGGUGGUAAAUUUCAUCUAAAGCUAAAUAUUGGUGGGAGACCGAUAGCGCACAAGUAGAGUGAUCGAAAGAUGAAAAGCACUUUGAAAAUAGAGUUAAAAAGUACGUGAAAUUGUUGAAAGGGAAGCGCUUGAGACCAGACUUCGGUGGGGAGUGAUCAGCUGUCCUUCUGGGCGGUGCACUUGCUCCCCUCCGGGCCAGCAUCGGUUGGGACGGCGGGAUAAAGGUCCCGGGAAUGUGGCUCCUCUCGGGGAGUGUUAUAGCCCGGGUGAAUGCCGCCAGCCCCGACCGAGGACCGCGCCUUCGGGCUAGGAUGCUUGGCAUAAUGGUCUUCAGCGACCCGUC
RNAcentral lists this ribosomal RNA (592 nucleotides) under Morchella esculenta. RNAcentral's name for it is "partial 28S ribosomal RNA". It matches the Rfam family "Eukaryotic large subunit ribosomal RNA", at positions 49 to 653 of the family's 3401-position model. Lineage: Eukaryota; Fungi; Ascomycota; Pezizomycetes; Pezizales; Morchellaceae. The record is from RNAcentral.